AACGAACGCUGACGGCAUGCCUAACACAUGCAAGUCGAACGAGAUCUUCGGGUCUAGUGGCGCACGGGUGCGUAACGCGUGGAAAUCUGCCCUUUGGUUCGGAAUAACAGUUGGAAACGACUGCUAAUACCGGAUGAUGACGAAAGUCCAAAGAUUUAUCGCCAGAGGAUGAGCCCGCGUAGGAUUAGCUAGUUGGUGUGGUAAAGGCGCACCAAGGCGACGAUCCUUAGCUGGUCUGAGAGGAUGAUCAGCCACACUGGGACUGAGACACGGCCCAGACUCCUACGGGAGGCAGCAGUGGGGAAUAUUGGACAAUGGGCGAAAGCCUGAUCCAGCAAUGCCGCGUGAGUGAUGAAGGCCUUAGGGUUGUAAAGCUCUUUUACCCGGGAUGAUAAUGACAGUACCGGGAGAAUAAGCUCCGGCUAACUCCGUGCCAGCAGCCGCCGUAA
This 449-nucleotide ribosomal RNA is filed under the name uncultured bacterium. RNAcentral describes it as "partial 16S ribosomal RNA". It matches the Rfam family "Bacterial small subunit ribosomal RNA", at positions 29 to 523 of the family's 1533-position model. The record is from RNAcentral.